RNAcentral lists this long non-coding RNA (311 nucleotides) under Androctonus crassicauda. Lineage: Eukaryota; Metazoa; Arthropoda; Arachnida; Scorpiones; Buthidae. The record is from RNAcentral.
AGCUUUUUAGAAGACAUAUAUAGUAAAGUGCAGAGUGCACAAUCUAAGCAGGCAACCCAAACUCUAGAUCAAACAGAAUAUGAGUCACUGCCAUAUGCCAUGUCUGAAUACAAAGUGGUUAAGGAACUUGCUAGGAAAGGAAGCAAGAGAGUGGCUUACAAAAGAUAUCCCACUGUAUACAACCUUCUUAGAAACGAUAAAGACCAGAGAAAAACAGAAAAAAUGCCAGGAAUCUAUAGAAUCCCAACAGUAAAUAAUACGAACAAUAGGGAAGAAGUUUAUAUAGGCGUUACCGGAAGACUGCUAGAGAU